This 67-nucleotide transfer RNA is filed under the name Schistosoma mansoni. Lineage: Eukaryota; Metazoa; Platyhelminthes; Trematoda; Strigeidida; Schistosomatidae. The record is from RNAcentral.
GAGUGGUGGCUUAGUGGUUAAAGUGGACAGUUUCAUCAACUGCGUCCCGGGUUCAAGCCCCACUUCA